GACGAACGCUGGCGGCGUGCUUAACACAUGCAAGUCGAACGGAAAGGCCCUGCUUUUGUGGGGUGCUCGAGUGGCGAACGGGUGAGUAACACGUGAGUAACCUGCCCUUGACUUUGGGAUAACGUCAGGAAACUGGGGCUAAUACCGGAUAGGAGCUCCUGCUGCAUGGUGGGGGUUGGAAAGUUUCGGCGGUUGGGGAUGGACUCGCGGCUUAUCAGCUUGUUGGUGGGGUAGUGGCUUACCAAGGCGUUGACGGGUAGCCGGCCUGAGAGGGGGACCGGGAACGGGGGGACGGGGAGACGGGGGAGACGACUACGGGAGGCAGCAGGGGGGAGUAGGGCAGGGGGGGCGGAAGGCUGAGGGAGCGACGCCGAGUGGGGGAUGACGGCCGGCGGGUGGGAAACUCCUGGCGACCGCGAGGAAGCCACCUGGUUGGAAGGGUGGUGACGGUAGUGGGAGAAGAAGCACCGGCUAACUACGUG
RNAcentral lists this ribosomal RNA (482 nucleotides) under uncultured bacterium. RNAcentral describes it as "partial 16S ribosomal RNA". It matches the Rfam family "Bacterial small subunit ribosomal RNA", at positions 28 to 507 of the family's 1533-position model. The record is from RNAcentral.